Panicum hallii is the source of this 753-nucleotide long non-coding RNA. RefSeq lists it as uncharacterized. The transcript is spliced from 3 exons. NCBI's taxonomy places the organism in Eukaryota, Viridiplantae, Streptophyta, Magnoliopsida, Poales, Poaceae. The record is from RefSeq and is a predicted model, not a curated record.
CUCGCACGAUCCAGCAACUACUCCCAUUCCACGCUACGCGACGCGAGGGACCAAUUCGCAGCGGCGGCGGCGGCAGGCCCCCGGAGCGCGCCGUACGCGCCGGCUGCCGGGAUGCGAGAAAGCCGGUCCGGUGCUGUGCGCUACUGACUACUGAGGCACCAUUUGCGAAGACAAUGUUUUGGAAGGCAUAUAUAGUUCGGAGCAAUGCUUGCACAGUGUCCCAGCACAGGGACACGUUGAAGAAUAUAAGCUUUACUGAAGAGAUGUUUUCUUGACGUAUUUGUCAAUCAGCAGGCAAGAAUCAGGAUGAUUUGAACUUCAAGGAAAUGUACCUUGCGUGUUAGAGCUCGUCCGAGAGCCUGGCUACAGUUUCCUGCAACCCGUCCUGCAUCUGCUCGAGUGCUCAAGAUGUCUGGAUGGCCGACUAUUGAUCAAUCAUGUCUGCGCUCCGACCAACUCUGCCAAAGAUUCAUGUGCCUCUGCUCAAAAUUUAUUGGAAAAAUCUGCCAAUGUCGAUACGUCCUACACUCUUGGUCCGUUUAACCAGCAACCAUGCUGAUCAACCUGUUUACAGAUGGAGCAUAACAACCAUACGGGGGCAGAGCCUACCGUUACUCGUUACACUCAUUACAAUCAUGAGAUUGACUAGCAGGCACUUUUAAGCAUUUAACGGAGGGAAAUUGACUGUAAAAUAUGCAUUGAACGCACACAGGUCAUGAAUUCAGUUUAUAAAGCUGAUUCUGUUUCAGGACA